Molecule: ribosomal RNA, 497 nt
Filed under: uncultured bacterium
Lineage: Bacteria
Description: partial 16S ribosomal RNA
Rfam family: Bacterial small subunit ribosomal RNA
Source: RNAcentral
GAUGAACGCUGGCGGCGUGCCUAAUACAUGCAAGUCGAGCGAACAGAUGAGGAGCUUGCUCCUCUGGCGUUAGCGGCGGACGGGUGAGUAACACGUGGAUAACCUACCUAUAAGACUGGGAUAACUUCGGGAAACCGGAGCUAAUACCGGAUAAUAUAUUGAACCGCAUGGUUCAAUAGUGAAAGACGGUUUUGCUGUCACUUAUAGAUGGAUCCGCGCCGCAUUAGCUAGUUGGUAAGGUAACGGCUUACCAAGGCAACGAUGCGUAGCCGACCUGAGAGGGUGAUCGGCCACACUGGAACUGAGACACGGUCCAGACUCCUACGGGAGGCAGCAGUAGGGAAUCUUCCACAAUGGGCGAAAGCCUGACGGAGCAACGCCGCGUGAGUGAUGAAGGUCUUCGGAUCGUAAAACUCUGUUAUUAGGGAAGAACAAAUGUGUAAGUAACUAUGCACGUCUUGACGGUACCUAAUCAGAAAGCCACGGCUAACUACGUG